AAGCAGAUGAAUCCAGGAGGUCAGCAUCCAUUAUUUGUCACCUUGUAGUGGAUUGGAGAAGAAUCUGAGCGUGCCAACGCUUGUUCCUGUCAACAUUAGGCAUAAAGCAGUGGUGUUUUUUUAAGUGGGCAGGAAGAAGAGGAGAAAGUCAUGAGAAGACUGAGGACAAGAACGGAAGGAAAAGGUACUUUAUUGUCACAUACACGUGAAAUGAAUUCUCUGCAUUUAACACUCAUUGCCUCAAGAACCUAAUCUAAGAUGUUUUUGAUGGUGUGGAAAACUGGAGUGCCCACACAGGAAGGAGGAAAACCACACAGACACAGGGAGAACAUGCAUUCUCCACACAGAAAGGCCUGGGAUGACGGGUUAGAAAAGGAGACCUUCUUGCUGUGAGGCCACAGUGCUUUCCGUCCGUAAGAUCUUCCUUCUGGACCUUUGGAAAGUUCAAUGGCACUUCUGUAGGUCCUCUUCAUCGAAAGGUGUACCUGGAGCUUGUAUUCAAGUCCAUCAGUCACCUGCACACUGAAAAGACCAGUGCGAUGCCUACUGUUCAUUCAAGCCUGGAAACAUCGAAGCAGCUUCAUGGGACACAAAGGCUGCGAAGCAGAAGGACAAAGUAGAUGCAGAUGAGAAGACCUUGUUGGCGCUCACUCCAAUUCCAGGCCAUACCGUGUGAGGUACGUAUCUUCAAGGACUUCAGCCAGAUGGGGAACUGGGGAAAAGCUGGGGAUCCAACCUUGCAUGACCUCCAAACAAUCAGAUGACUGGGAAGCCUAUCUGUCCCCAUCUCUUAAAAGAAGAGUAUCACCACAGCAGCCCCACUGUGCACAUCCAGCCAGCCAGUUGAAGAGCUGAAGUUCAAACAGCCCCAAGAACUUCUACUCAUCCUGACAGAUGGACUGGACCACAAGUGAUGCCCAUCACCAGCUGGAGCCUCACGCAGACGCACACACACUGAUGUACAUAGGCUAUAUUGGUUACAGUUGUUCAUUAAAAUGAGUAAUUAUAAUAUUUAUAUUAUAUUUUUGCAUUAUUUUUAAUACCUUUUACUGGUUUUAAUGGUUUUAAUAUAAUUCCUAAUUGUUCAAAGUAUUAAGUCAAAUAUCUAGUAGUAGUAAAGACUCCAAUCAAUUGUCUCUCACAAAUAGUCUGACAGAUUCUUUAUCCUGGUUGUUCAUAAUUAUGUUAUAAUAAAAUUUUAUAUAAUUUGGGAUGAACUUUGGGAUGAAAUUUUGAAUGUUGUGUGGUUUACACAGUAAAAUAAAUUUCAACCUUUACUGAUUAAA
This is a long non-coding RNA of Micropterus salmoides (largemouth bass), 1286 nucleotides long. RefSeq lists it as uncharacterized. The record is from RefSeq and is a predicted model, not a curated record. The transcript is spliced from 3 exons. NCBI's taxonomy places the organism in Eukaryota, Metazoa, Chordata, Actinopteri, Centrarchiformes, Centrarchidae.